UUUUGGACAAUGGGGGCAACCCUGAUCCAGCCAUGCCGCGUGAGUGAAGAAGGCCUUCGGGUUGUAAAGCUCUUUCGGACGGAACGAAAUGGGCGGGACUAAUACGCCUGUCUGAUGACGGUACCGUAAGAAGAAGCACCGGCUAACUACGUGCCAGCAGCCGCGGUAAUACGUAGGGUGCGAGCGUUAAUCGGAAUUACUGGGCGUAAAGCGUGCGCAGGCGGUUUCGUAAGCUGGAGGUGAAAUCCCCGGGCUUAACCUGGGAAUGGCCUUCAGGACUGCGAGGCUAGAGUGCGGCAGAGGGAGGUGGAAUUCCACGUGUAGCAGUGAAAUGCGUAGAGAUGUGGAGGAACACCGAUGGCGAAGGCAGCCUCCUGGGCCAGCACUGACGCUCAUGCACGAAA
Molecule: ribosomal RNA, 404 nt
Filed under: uncultured bacterium
Lineage: Bacteria
Description: bacterial SSU rRNA
Rfam family: Bacterial small subunit ribosomal RNA
Source: RNAcentral